Non-coding RNA from Armillaria luteobubalina, 92 nucleotides. Lineage: Eukaryota; Fungi; Basidiomycota; Agaricomycetes; Agaricales; Physalacriaceae. The record is from the annotation of a GenBank genome assembly.
GGUGCUUUGGUGUAGUGGUUAGACUACCAGCCGUUUGUUGGUCACAUGAUGCCUGUUUUUGGAAGUCCUGAGUUCGAAUCUCAGCACUGCCA